UUAUUAUGCCCCACCUACGAUAGUAGAGGGGCAUUAUGUUUUCUGGUCUGUGCGUCCGUCCGUCCGUCCGUUCGUUCGUCCGUCCGUCUGUCCGUUCGUUCGUCCGUCCGUCCGUCUGUCCCGCUUCAGGUUAAAGUUUUUGGUCAAGGUAGUUUUUGAUGAAGUUUAAGUCCAAUCGACUUCAAACUUAGUACACAUGUCCCCUAUGAUAUGAUCUUUCUAAUUUUAAUGCCAAAUUAGAGUUUUUACCCCAAUUUCACGGUCCACUGAACAUGGAAAAUGAUAGUGCGAGUGGGGCAUUCGUGUACUGAGGACACAUUCUUGUUUAUUA
RNAcentral lists this long non-coding RNA (331 nucleotides) under Mytilus galloprovincialis (Mediterranean mussel). The record is from RNAcentral. Lineage: Eukaryota; Metazoa; Mollusca; Bivalvia; Mytilida; Mytilidae.